This 468-nucleotide ribosomal RNA is filed under the name uncultured bacterium. RNAcentral's name for it is "partial 16S ribosomal RNA". It matches the Rfam family "Bacterial small subunit ribosomal RNA", at positions 28 to 507 of the family's 1533-position model. The record is from RNAcentral.
GACGAACGCUGGCGGCGUGCUUAACACAUGCAAGUCGAACGGAAAGGCCCUGCUUUUGUGGGGUGCUCGAGUGGCGAACGGGUGAGUAACACGUGAGUAACCUGCCCUUGACUUUGGGAUAACUUCAGGAAACUGGGGCUAAUACCGGAUAGGAGCUCCUGCUGCAUGGUGGGGGUUGGAAAGUUUCGGCGGUUGGGGAUGGACUCGCGGCUUAUCAGCUUGUUGGUGGGGUAGUGGCUUACCAAGGCUUUGACGGGUAGCCGGCCUGAGAGGGUGACCGGCCACAAUGGGACUGAGAUACGGCCCAGACUCCUACGGGAGGCAGCAGUGGGGAAUAUUGCACAAUGGGCGGAAGCCUGAUGCAGCAACGCCGCGUGCGGGAUGACGGCCUUCGGGUUGUAAACCGCUUUCGCCUGUGAUGAAGCGUGAGUGACGGUAAUGGGUAAAGAAGCACCGGCUAACUACGUG